GACGAACGCUGGCGGCGUGCUUAACACAUGCAAGUCGAACGGAAAGGCCUCUUUCGGGGGGUACUCGAGUGGCGAACGGGUGGGUAACACGUGAGUAACCUGCCCUUGACUUUGGGAUAACUUCAGGAAACUGGGGCUAAUACCGGACAGGAGAUCCUGCUGCCUGGUGGGGGUUGGAAAGUUUCGGCGGUUGGGGAUGGAUUCGCGGGUUAUCAGCUUGUUGGUGGGGUAGUGGCUUACCAAGGCCUUGGCGGGUAGCCGGACUGAGGGGGUGAGCGGCCACAUUGGGACUGAGAUGCGGCCCAGGCACCGACGGGAGGGAGCAGUGGGGAAGAUUGCACAAGGGGUGGAGGCCGGAUGCAGCAGCGCCGCGUGCGGGAUGACGGCCUUCGGGUUGUAAACCGCUUUCGCUCAUGACGACGCUUUGUGUGACGGUAGUGGGUAAAGAAGCACCGGCUAACUACGUG
Molecule: ribosomal RNA, 467 nt
Filed under: uncultured bacterium
Lineage: Bacteria
Description: partial 16S ribosomal RNA
Rfam family: Bacterial small subunit ribosomal RNA
Source: RNAcentral